Molecule: non-coding RNA, 237 nt
Organism: Pelobates cultripes (western spadefoot toad)
Lineage: Eukaryota; Metazoa; Chordata; Amphibia; Anura; Pelobatidae
Source: the annotation of a GenBank genome assembly
CUGUGUGUGCAUAUAUAUUUUUUUUGUGGUGAGACCAAACACAAAAGUCCCCACUGUGUAAUUGCAAACAAUACUGUUGUGCAUCACCUGUAUAUCUUAAGUUGGAUUUUGGAAAGUCCUCCUUGGGCACAUAGACUCAAGAAAUCAUACUUCCACAACUAUGAAGAGUUUACCAGCUUGACAUGCAAAUGACAAAUACAGGCAUCGUGCUUCCGACGUAAUUCUGCAUUUCUGAAG